Regulatory RNA element from Virgibacillus necropolis, 114 nucleotides. It matches the Rfam family "epsC RNA". NCBI's taxonomy places the organism in Bacteria, Bacillati, Bacillota, Bacilli, Caryophanales, Bacillaceae. The record is from Rfam.
UGGUGAUGCCUACUUACCAUUAUCAAUGAAGGCACUCGGUCAUGCUGUGGGUUGUCAUAAACCUUAGACGCGUUUGUUGUCGGUAGUGUGGUGUGAGGAUGGGUUGAAUGCCCA